CACAUUCGGGGCGCUUCGGCGCUCCUUAUACACCCACCCUCUGCCUACGUGUACCUCUAUAGCUUCCUCGGCGGGCUCGCCCGCCGCCAGGAACCACGAAACCCCUUGCAUUAUACGCGAAAACUUCUGAUAACAAACCUAAAUUAUCA
Molecule: unclassified non-coding RNA, 149 nt
Filed under: soil metagenome
Description: partial internal transcribed spacer 1
Source: RNAcentral